Long non-coding RNA from Tachyglossus aculeatus (Australian echidna), 1780 nucleotides. RefSeq lists it as uncharacterized. The transcript is spliced from 3 exons. The record is from RefSeq and is a predicted model, not a curated record. NCBI's taxonomy places the organism in Eukaryota, Metazoa, Chordata, Mammalia, Monotremata, Tachyglossidae.
GGUAGUAAACGAUGGAAUGAAUGAAUGAGAACUGAGAGGGAAACUAAUAGAAAUGAUACUUUGCUCUUGGGCCUUCAACUCUUCCUAGUUUAUACAACCUCAUUUUCAGUAACACUGGGUGUGCGGAUAUUUAGCACCGUGCAGCUCGUUCUGCUCAGAUGAAUAUGGAAGUGACAUUUGGCAUCCUGACCUCUGAUAUUUCUGGAACGAGUUCAGCACAGUCGUUCUCGACGGCUAACGGGAUUAAUUGCUGUGGCAUAUAACGAUUCUAAGGCCAGAGCCAAGUCAUAUAAGAGAGCUACCUGAAGUAAGAUGUCAGUUUUGUCAUCGCUCCUUUAUCUCCGAAAUUUGAAUUGGUGGGUUAUAGAUGGUGAUACAGCACUAUAAAGUCACAAGAACACCAUUAUCCCGGAUACGUCGCUCCCCUAAUGCCGAUCUACUCAUUGUACCUUGAUUCCGUCCAUCUCGCCGACGACCCCUUGUCAUCAGUCGUAUUUAUUGAGCGCUUACUGUGUGCAGUCCUCAUCCUCCCCGUGGCUGGGAACUCCUUCCUCCUUCAGGUGCGACCAGCCACCACUCUCCCCACGUUCAGAGUCCCAUCAAAACCGCCCGCCCUCCGAGAGGCCUUCCAAGAGUCUCCUCUCACGCCGUCGGGUCGUCUCCGACCCGUAGCGACGCCGGGGACGCCUCUCUCCCGGGCCCAACUGCUUCCAUCUGCGACGGUCCUGGGAGCGUAUCCGUAGAGGCUUUGUGGUAAAAAUAGGGAAGUGGUUCACCGUCAUCUUCUUCCGCGCGGGCAACUUGAGUCUCUCCCGUGCCGCCGCUGCGCAGCACGGGUGAGCUUCGACUUGUAGCGGAUCGUCUUCCACUUUCUAGCCACUGGCCAAGCUAGGAAUGGAACGGACUGCAAAUUUUCUGUGGAGAGAGACCGUGUUUACCCACUCUGUAUUCUCCCAAGCGCUUAGUUCAGCGCUCUGCACAGGCGAAGACUCAACAUUAACACCACUGGGUUGAUGGAUGCGAUCGCAACGACGGAAGAAACCGUAGUGUACACGCCUGUCACGGUGUGUCUACUGUUUUGUGGUUUUUCUCAAUAUGGGAUUAAGGGCAACAGAAGUCUUGGGUUAGAGGAGAAUCGAAUCAACGCCAAAACAGUGACUAGGAAAAAAAAGGGAUCUGGAUGGGAGACCUACUGUACAGAUAGAAUAUCAGAGCAAAGAACAGGUAGAAGAAUAAUAAAAUAAUAAGAUUUAAAGAGCAUUUGCCAACUGCCUUUAAUUCAAUAGCAAUCCUAGCGCUUCCUGACAACGCAUCUAAUUGACGAGAAUUUGUGCCGCAGUUUCACAUCCAAAAGCCAAAGAAUGGGUAGUUAAAAAAAAAAACUGUGAAGAAACAGAACAAAAAUCUACAUUACCUUAUAAUGCGAGAGCGUAAGUCUUUUCAAUUGUGAACUAAAGGGCGAUCCCAAGCGCCUAGUACAGUGCUCUGCACACAGUAAGCGCUCAAUAAAUACGAUUGAAUGAAUGAAAUGAAUGAAUAUUUACAUUCUUGUCACUAAAUGCUGUAACAGCACACUGAUACUGACCUAGAAAAUGUACAAUAUCGUACUAGGGUUUUAGAGUGUUUACAAUAUAAAAAGUAAAUUAUUUCAAGACAGAAGGUGUUUGUAAAUGUCACCCGUAUUAUUGCAACAAAUUACAGAUAAAUACUGUGGGGGAGAGCAUAUAGCUGCCCAUCACUUUAGAUACUACAACCGAGGAAAUGAAGUGAUAACACUUUA